CCUACGGGAGGCAGCAGUAAGGAAUAUUGGUCAAUGGGCGCAAGCCUGAACCAGCCAUGCCGCGUGCAGGAUGACGGCCCUCUGGGUUGUAAACUGCUUUUAUACGGGAAGAACAGCAUCUACGUGUAGGUGUUUGACGGUACUGUAAGAAUAAGGACCGGCUAACUUCGUGCCAGCAGCCGCGGUAAUACGAAGGGUCCAAGCGUUAUCCGGAUUUAUUGGGUUUAAAGGGUGCGUAGGCGGCUUUUUAAGUCAGUGGUGAAAGCCUGAUGCUCAACAUCAGAACUGCCAUUGAUACUGAAGAGCUUGAGUACAGUUGAGGUUGGCGGAAUGUGUCAUGUAGCGGUGAAAUGCUUAGAUAUGACACAGAACACCGAUUGCGAAGGCAGCUAGCUAAGCUGUUACUGACGCUGAUGCACGAAAGCGUGGGGAGCAAACAGGAUUAGAUACCCUGGUAGUCCACGCCCUAAACGUUGAUAACUCGUUGUUAGCGAUAUACUGUUAGCGACCAAGCGAAAGCAUUAAGUUAUCCACCUGGGAAGUACGGUCGCAAGAUUGAAACUNAAAGGAAUUGACGGCUGAGACGNGCGAGGACGACACGAGGGAGGAGG
RNAcentral lists this ribosomal RNA (611 nucleotides) under uncultured bacterium. RNAcentral's name for it is "bacterial SSU rRNA". It matches the Rfam family "Bacterial small subunit ribosomal RNA", at positions 338 to 951 of the family's 1533-position model. The record is from RNAcentral.